GUUUAUAUAGUUUAAUUAAAACCUUACACUUUCACUGUAAAAAUAAAAAAUUAUUUUUUAUAAAUA
Molecule: transfer RNA, 66 nt
Filed under: Spodoptera exigua (beet armyworm)
Lineage: Eukaryota; Metazoa; Arthropoda; Insecta; Lepidoptera; Noctuidae
Description: tRNA-Glu
Source: RNAcentral